CUAAGGGGACCGCAUCAAGAGCUUGCUAUACCAGAAGUGCUCCCUCAACUACUGAUGUCCUUAGGAAUCAGAUUUUGAACUCCUUUACUUCUAAGCCUCAGAUCCAAAACACUACCCCCAAUGCCACUGUUUCAAUCAGUUUCGAGGGUUUCACUGCUCUGCCCCAAAAAACUACCUCUCCUAUUUUCACUAAUCGUGCUUCUACCAGCGAUCCCCACUGGAAACCUCUACCCCUCCCCC
This 240-nucleotide long non-coding RNA is filed under the name Brassica napus (rape). RNAcentral's name for it is "long non-coding RNA (BNAP_LNC020221)". Lineage: Eukaryota; Viridiplantae; Streptophyta; Magnoliopsida; Brassicales; Brassicaceae. The record is from RNAcentral.